UACGUAGGGGACAAGCGUUGUCCGGAAUUAUUGGGCGUAAAGAGCGUGUAGGCGGCCAGACAGGUCCGUUGUGAAAACUAGAGGCUUAACCUCUAGACGUCGAUGGAAACCGUCUGGCUAGAGUCCGGAAGAGGAGAAUGGAAUUCCUGGUGUAGCGGUGAAAUGCGCAGAUAUCAGGAAGAACACCCGUGGCUAAGGCGGUUCUCUAGUACGGUACUGACGCUGAGACGCGAAAGCGUGGGGAGCGAACAGG
Molecule: ribosomal RNA, 253 nt
Filed under: uncultured bacterium
Lineage: Bacteria
Description: partial 16S ribosomal RNA
Rfam family: Bacterial small subunit ribosomal RNA
Source: RNAcentral